CUCUUCUUUUCUUUAGGAAAAGGGAGCUGUGGAGACAGAAGCAGCGGAGAGAGGGACUCACCCAGCGGCGCCCUCACACAACUGCAGCAGCUAGCUGCUCGAGUUAGACCUACUAUGUGGUGACGAGCAACACCGGUACACCCCAAGGAACUGUACUGUCGCUGUUUCUGUUCACCCUCUACACCUCUGACUUUUGCAUCAACUUCUGGAACGUUGCUAUCUACAGAAGUUCUCGGAUGACUCCUCCAUUGUCGGCUGUAUCACAGAUGGACUACGGCGCAGCAAGAGGCCCCUCAACGUGUGCAAUAGGCUACUAUGGAUGUUAUACCAGUCUGUAGUGGCCAGUGUCAUCGUCUUUGCCGUGGUGUGCUGGGGAGGAGGCAUCUGGACUUGUGGUGCCAACAAACUAUGCAAGUUGGUGAAGAAGGUAGUGGGGAUGGAGCUGGACAGUGUGGAGGCAGCGACUGAGAAGAGGAAGAAGGGGCCGCUGAAAGCCAUCAUGGACAACCCCUCUCAUCCUCUACGCUGAGCUGAGGCAGCUCAGGAGCACUUUCAGCCACAGACUGAUCCAGCCCCGUGCCCCCGCUUGGGAGGCUCAUUUGUGCCAUCAGCCAUUCGACUCUAGAACGCCACAGCACACUAGUACCACCUACCCCUGCUGCCUGAGACUGCUAACUCUUAACCUGUUGAGCACAGCUCUUUUUUUGCACAAUGCUUCAAACAUUGCACAUGUUGUACAGAUAUACACAGGCAUAUUAUAUUCCACUUUAUUGUAUAUAGAGUAUAUAUUUUAUAUUUGUAUUAUAUUUUAUUGUAUUUUAUUCUAUCUUUACUCUUUACACUAUAUUCUCCUGUGCUGCUGUGCCAAAUUUUAAUUUCCCUACAGGGGAUCAAUUAUCUGUCAGGUUUAGCCAAUAGUUCACAAUCUGCACUGAGCUAAAUUUAGUUACAUUCCACCACAAGUCCUGGUAAACUCUCUAAUAAUUAAACAGAAAAACAAGGACUGUGGGACUGCAGCAUGCACAUGGAGGACCUUUCGAUUUUACAAAAGGUCCAAAGCAAAAAGGAAUAUUAUUUCAAUAGAAAUUGUAUUCCAAAACAUCUAGACAGCAAACUGUAGUAGAGGCAACUGUGUAUACUCACAAGGAUAUACCUGCACAUGUUCACUACCAUUCAGCUCCUCCACCUUUAACAGAGGCUGGCAUCAGUCAUCAGCAUCAUAUCUGAUUACUCUGUGCAGACUGUUAACUUUAGCGUUGCCACCUCCUAGCGGCUUUAUAGGCUAUAAACUCCAAGAAAUAUUCUAUCACCUUUGCAAUGAAGGCUUAAUGUGGUCACAGUUUUUACUUUCUAUAAAAAUUUCAAGCUUUUUUCCUACAAAGUACCUUUGCUGUGCUGUAAUUGUAUCCGUCUGGAUUCAGCGGUUCCCAGAGGGAGUUCAUUUAGUCUAGGCUGGGAAAAGAAAGUGAGCCAGGCGAUGGAUUAUGUAGUCUACAAGACUCACCUUCAGUUGAACAAGUAACCGAAACUGCUACUGGAGAGGCAUAUGGGAGAAACGGUUCGACUUCAGUCAGGCUGUCCACACACUCUGAUUAUUAAGUAAGACCAGAGGGAGAGAGAGAGAGAGAGAGAGAGAGAGAAAGAAGAGAAACAACCCAUUUUCCACCCCGCCCAAG
Molecule: long non-coding RNA, 1676 nt
Organism: Dicentrarchus labrax (European seabass)
Lineage: Eukaryota; Metazoa; Chordata; Actinopteri; Moronidae
Exons: 3
Source: RefSeq, a predicted model, not a curated record